This 468-nucleotide ribosomal RNA is filed under the name uncultured bacterium. Its description in RNAcentral is "partial 16S ribosomal RNA". It matches the Rfam family "Bacterial small subunit ribosomal RNA", at positions 28 to 507 of the family's 1533-position model. The record is from RNAcentral.
GACGAACGCUGGCGGCGUGCUUAACACAUGCAAGUCGAACGGCAAGGCCCUGCUUUCGUGGGGUGACCGAGUGGCGAACGGGUGAGUAACAGGUGAGUAACCUGCCCUUGACUUUGGGAUAACUUCAGGAAACUGGGGCUAAUACCGGAUAGGAGCUCCUGCUGCAUGGUGGGGGUUGGAACGUCUCGGCGGUUGGGGAUGGACUCGCGGCUUAUCAGCUUGUUGGUGGGGUAGUGGCUUACCAAGGCUUUGACGGGUAGGCGGCCUGAGAGGGUGACCGGCCACAUUGGGACUGAGAGACGGCCCAGACUCCUACGGGGGGCAGCAGUGGGGAAUAUUGCACAAUGGGCGGAAGCCUGAUGCAGCAACGCCGCGGGCGGGAUGACGGCCUUCGGGGUGUAAACCGCAUUCGCCUGUGACGACGCGUGAGUGACGGUAAUGGGUAAAGAAGCACCGGCUAACUACGUG